CCGCCGGCGACCGGCGCACGGGUGAGUAACACGUAUGAAACCUGCCCGUAGCAGGGGGAUAAGCGGAAGAAAUUCCGUCUAAUACCGCGUAACAACCCGAGGAGGCAUCUCCUCGGGUUUAAAGGAAGCGAUUCCGGCUACGGAUGGUCAUGCGUCGCAUUAGCUAGUUGGCGGGGUAACGGCCCACCAAGGCGACGAUGCGUAGGGGUUCUGAGAGGAAGGUCCCCCACACUGGUACUGAGACACGGACCAGACUCCUACGGGAGGCAGCAG
RNAcentral lists this ribosomal RNA (273 nucleotides) under uncultured bacterium. Its description in RNAcentral is "partial 16S ribosomal RNA". It matches the Rfam family "Bacterial small subunit ribosomal RNA", at positions 85 to 354 of the family's 1533-position model. The record is from RNAcentral.